UCCCNGCCAGGCAACUUCAGUCCUCUCCA
RNAcentral lists this non-coding RNA (29 nucleotides) under Mus musculus (house mouse). Lineage: Eukaryota; Metazoa; Chordata; Mammalia; Rodentia; Muridae. The record is from RNAcentral.